CCUCUGCGGCUUAUAUGGCUGGAAAACAGCAGACUGGGUCGGAUACGCUGUCUGACGCUGGUGCAGGUAGGCUGCUAGCCGGUUGUAAGCCUCUAGCAAGUGUCUACAAUACUGUCUUCCACUCAUAUGCCUCGUUGUGGAUUAAAACCUUCACCGGAUCACAAGGUUUGACAAGUCGGAACUGGCCAGGUUCCCAUUCCAGGAUCACCGUCUCCAGGACUCUGAAUGUCUGUCAGGUGGAUCAGACUUGCGAGCUAGAAACCAUGUAGCACCAAAGGAAACGGCACCUUCUGCUACCUCCUUCCCAACUAUGGAGGAGAUAUUCAGGCCACCAGUAAACCAUCUUCACUCUGGAUUGGACCUCUCUGAAUGGAACUGGAUGAUCUUUUUCGGCACCAUCAAGGAACUGGUUGAAUUCCUUGGAUAAAGGAAAACACCUUGGAUUUCAUGAACUGUCUUGACUGAUUUGUCUGUAAAUAUUAAUGCAUAUCACUUAUUUUGCACCA
Long non-coding RNA from Poecilia latipinna (sailfin molly), 506 nucleotides. RefSeq lists it as uncharacterized. The transcript has 2 exons. The record is from RefSeq and is a predicted model, not a curated record. Lineage: Eukaryota; Metazoa; Chordata; Actinopteri; Cyprinodontiformes; Poeciliidae.